GUUGCUCAGUAGGCAGUGUAGAUCCUGUGUAGCAAUCAGCAGCUACAUCUGGCUACUGGGUCUC
Molecule: microRNA precursor, 64 nt
Organism: Echeneis naucrates (live sharksucker)
Lineage: Eukaryota; Metazoa; Chordata; Actinopteri; Carangiformes; Echeneidae
Product: microRNA 222
Source: Ensembl